AUACGGAAGGCAGCAAUCAGGAAUAUUGCGCAAUGGGGGAAACCCUGACGCAGCGACGCCGCGUGCGGGAUGAAGGCCUUCGGGUCGUAAACCGCUGUUGUGGGAGACGAGUGACCGCCUACGGGCGGGAGGGACGGUAUCCCACGAGGAAGCCCCGGCUAACUACGUGCCAGCAGCCGCGGUAAUACGUAGGGGGCGAGCGUUGUCCGAAGUUACUGGGCGUAAAGAGCGCGUAGGCGGCCUUCUAAGUGACUGGUGAAAUCCCCGGGCUCAACCCGGGAGGGUCUGGUCAUACUGGGAGGCUAGAGUGUGGGAGAGGAAAGCGGAACUCCAGGUGUAGCGGUGAUAUGCGUAGAUAUCUGGAAGAACACCCGUGGCGAAGGCGGCUUUCUGGACCACAACUGACGCUGAGGCGCGAAAGCCAGGGGAGCGAACGGGAUUAGAUACCCGCGUAGUCCU
Molecule: ribosomal RNA, 459 nt
Filed under: uncultured bacterium
Lineage: Bacteria
Description: bacterial SSU rRNA
Rfam family: Bacterial small subunit ribosomal RNA
Source: RNAcentral